GGCAACGCGAGGCCUAGCGUGCGGCGUGGGGCCUGAGUGAGGCCUAGUGCGGGGUGUGGAGCCUAAGGGGCAGCGAGAUCCCCAUGGCCCCAUUGGGGAUGUUGGUCCCGGCCCGCUUCCUGACGAUGACGGCUCACCUGGUGGCACUGCUUACGGUCGCCAUGGCGAGGCCACUCUGAGCCACGCUGCUGCCACCCUCACGCUGGGCCUGGCCCUAUUGGAGCAAUGGGACCUCAGCGCCUUCACCUUCACCCUCACCCUUUGCAGGUGGGUUCUGGGGGGGGGGGGGGCACCCUAAAGACCCCCCCCGUACCCCCAAAUAGCCCCAAAUUAAUCCC
RNAcentral lists this long non-coding RNA (338 nucleotides) under Gallus gallus (chicken). The record is from RNAcentral. Lineage: Eukaryota; Metazoa; Chordata; Aves; Galliformes; Phasianidae.